This 253-nucleotide ribosomal RNA is filed under the name uncultured bacterium. Its description in RNAcentral is "partial 16S ribosomal RNA". It matches the Rfam family "Bacterial small subunit ribosomal RNA", at positions 524 to 776 of the family's 1533-position model. The record is from RNAcentral.
UACGUAGGGCGCAAGCGUUGUCCGGAAUUAUUGGGCGUAAAGAGCUCGUAGGCGGCUUGUCACGUCGGGUGUGAAAGCCCGGGGCUUAACCCCGGGUCUGCAUUCGAUACGGGCUGGCUAGAGUGUGGUAGGGGAGAUCGGAAUUCCUGGUGUAGCGGUGAAAUGCGCAGAUAUCAGGAGGAACACCGGUGGCGAAGGCGGACCUCUGGGCCAUUACUGACGCUGAGGAGCGAAAGCGUGGGGAGCGAACAGG